Molecule: ribosomal RNA, 237 nt
Filed under: uncultured bacterium
Lineage: Bacteria
Description: partial 16S ribosomal RNA
Rfam family: Bacterial small subunit ribosomal RNA
Source: RNAcentral
CCGGCACGGGUGAGUAACACGUAUCCAACCUGCCGUCUACUCUUGGACAGCCUUCUGAAAGGAAGAUUAAUACAAGAUGGCAUCAUGAGUCCGCAUGUUCACAUGAUUAAAGGUAUUCCGGUAGACGAUGGGGAUGCGUUCCAUUAGAUAGUAGGCGGGGUAACGGCCCACCUAGUCUUCGAUGAAUAGGGGUUCUGAGAGGAAGGUCCCCCACAUUGGAACUGAGACACGGUCCAA